Molecule: transfer RNA, 73 nt
Filed under: Phycisphaerae bacterium
Lineage: Bacteria; Pseudomonadati; Planctomycetota; Phycisphaerae
Description: tRNA-Ile
Rfam family: tRNA
About the family: Transfer RNA (tRNA) molecules are approximately 80 nucleotides in length.
Source: RNAcentral
GGGCCUGUAGCUCAGCGGUAGAGCAGCGGACUCAUAAUCCGUCUGGUCGCUGGUUCGAAUCCAGCCGGGCCCA